AUUGAACGCUGGCGGCAUGCCUUACACAUGCAAGUCGAACGGCAGCACGGACUUCGGUCUGGUGGCGAGUGGCGAACGGGUGAGUAAUAUAUCGGAACAUACCCUAGAGUGGGGGAUAACGUAGCGAAAGUUACGCUAAUACCGCAUACGAACUAAGGUUGAAAGUGGGGGAUCGCAAGACCUCAUGCUCAUGGAGUGGCCGAUAUCUGAUUAGCUAGUUGGUGAGGUAAAGGCUCACCAAGGCGACGAUCAGUAGCUGGUCUGAGAGGACGACCAGCCACACUGGAACUGAGACACGGUCCAGACUCCUACGGGAGGCAGCAGUGGGGAAUUUUGGACAAUGGGGGCAACCCUGAUCCAGCAAUGCCGCGUGAGUGAAGAAGGCCUUCGGGUUGUUAAAGGCUCUUUUGUUCAGGGAAGAAACGGUGAUCUCUAAUAUAGAUUGCUAAUGACGGUACCUGAAGAAUAAGCACCGGCUAACUACGUGCCAGCAGCCG
This 497-nucleotide ribosomal RNA is filed under the name uncultured bacterium. RNAcentral's name for it is "bacterial SSU rRNA". It matches the Rfam family "Bacterial small subunit ribosomal RNA", at positions 30 to 517 of the family's 1533-position model. The record is from RNAcentral.